This 257-nucleotide unclassified non-coding RNA is filed under the name plant metagenome. RNAcentral describes it as "partial contains small subunit ribosomal RNA, internal transcribed spacer 1, and 5.8S ribosomal RNA". The record is from RNAcentral.
UUUCCGUAGGUGAACCUGCGGAAGAAUCAUUACCGAAAAACCGAGGUGCGAGGGCUGCCGCUGACCUUUUCGGUCGUGCCCGCCCGCGCGCUCUCACACAAUCCAUCUCGCCCCUUGGGCACCACCGCGUGGGUCCCUUUCUGGCUCGUCCGGAGGGGGGCGCGCGUUUUCGCGCAAACUUGAAGAAGUGUAGAAUGUCCUUUCUGUGCGAUAACACGCAAUCAAUACAACUUUCAACAACGGAUCUCUUGGCUCUG